AGGUCCCAGAGCGGUCAGAAUAGUGGUACCGUAGGUCCCAGAGUGGUCAGACUGGUGGCACCAUAGGUCCCAGAGUGGUCAGACUGGUGGCAGGUCCCAGAGUGGUCAGACUGGUGGUAGGUCCCAGAGUGGUCAGACUGGUGGCACCAUAGGUCCUAGAGCGGUCAGACUGGUGGCACCAUAUGUCCCAGAGCGGUCAGACUGGUGGCACCGUAGGUCCCGGAGUGGUCAGACUGGUGGCACCGUAGGUCCCAGAGCGGUCAGACUGGUGGCAGGUCCCAGAUUGGUCAGACUGGUGGCAGUUCCCAGAGCGGUCAGACUGGUGGCACCAUAGGUCCCAGAGUGGUCAGACUGGUGGCAGGUCCCAGAGUGGUCAGACUGGUGGCACCACAGGUCCCAGAGUGGUCAGACUGGUGGCACCGUAGGUCCCAGAGCGGUCAGACUGGUGGCACCGUCUGUUCCAGAGUGGUCAGACUGGUGGCAGGUCCCAGAGCGGUCAGACUGGUGGCAGGUCCCAGAGCGGUCAGACUGGUGGCAGGUCCCAGAGCGGUCAGACUGGUGGCAGGUCCCAGAGCGGUCAGACUGGUGGCACCAUCGGUCCCAGAGUGGUCAGACUGGUGGCACCGUAGGUCCCAGAGUGGUCAGACUGGUGGCAGGUCCCAGAGUGGUCAGACUGGUGGCAGGUCCCAGAGUGGUCAGACUGGUGGCAGGUCCCAGAGUGGUCAGACUGGUGGCACCGUAGGUCCCAGAGUGGUCAGACUGGUGGCACCGUAGGUCCCAGAGUGGUCAGACUGGUGGCACCGUAGGUCCCAGAGUGGUCAGACUGGUGGCA
Molecule: long non-coding RNA, 832 nt
Organism: Oncorhynchus tshawytscha (Chinook salmon)
Lineage: Eukaryota; Metazoa; Chordata; Actinopteri; Salmoniformes; Salmonidae
Source: Ensembl